GAGAACAAUUCUCAGACUGGAUGUUGAACAUCAGCUAGUUUCUCCUGUUGAUUUAAACCUUGUUGUAGAGAUGGAACAUUGGCUGGGGAUUAUUCUUGCUGCUCUUUUCUUUGAGUGUAAAGGAGAAGACAGAGUGAUCCAGCCA
Etheostoma cragini (Arkansas darter) is the source of this 145-nucleotide long non-coding RNA. RefSeq lists it as uncharacterized. The record is from RefSeq and is a predicted model, not a curated record. The transcript is spliced from 2 exons. NCBI's taxonomy places the organism in Eukaryota, Metazoa, Chordata, Actinopteri, Perciformes, Percidae.